GAGGAAUAUUGCGCAAUGGGCGAAAGCCUGACGCAGCGACGCCGCGUGGAGGACGAAGGUCUUCGGAUCGUAAACUCCUGUCGAGCGGGACGAAGCCGGGACGGUGAACAGCCGUUUCGGUUGACGGUACCGCUAAAGGAAGCCCCGGCUAACUCCGUGCCAGCAGCCGCGGUAAUACGGAGGGGGCAAGCGUUGUUCGGAAUUACUGGGCGUAAAGGGCGCGUAGGCGGCCUGCUAAGUCGAACGUGAAAUCCCCGGGCUCAACCCGGGAACUGCGUCCGAUACUGGUGGGCUUGAAUUCGGGAGAGGGAUGCGGAAUUCCAGGUGUAGCGGUGAAAUGCGUAGAUAUCUGGAGGAACACCGGUGGCGAAGGCGGCAUCCUGGACCGAUAUUGACGCUGAGGCGCGAAAGCCAGGGGAGCAAAC
RNAcentral lists this ribosomal RNA (425 nucleotides) under uncultured bacterium. RNAcentral describes it as "bacterial SSU rRNA". It matches the Rfam family "Bacterial small subunit ribosomal RNA", at positions 356 to 773 of the family's 1533-position model. The record is from RNAcentral.